UGCGGAAUUUUAGAUAAUGGAGGCAACUCUGAUCUAGCGACGCCGCGUGCAGGAAGAAGGUCUUCGGAUUGUAAACUGCUGUGGUAAGGGAAAAAUGUCAUGUAGAGUGGAAAGCUACAUGGAGGGAUGGUACUUUACUAGAAAGCCCCGGCUAACUACGUGCCAGCAGCCGCGGUAAUACGUAGGGGGCGAGCGUUACCCGGAAUCACUGGGCGUAAAGGGAGCGUAGGUGGCCUGACAUGUCAACUGUGAAAACCCGGAGCUCAACUCCGGACUUGCAGUUGAAACUGCCAGGCUUGAGGACGGUAGAGGAAGACGGAGCUGCCAGUGUAGGGGUAAAAUCCUUAGAUAUUGGCAGGAACGCCGGUGACGAAGGUGGUUUUCUGGGCCGGUUCUGACACUGAUGCUCGAAAGCCAGGGGAGCGAACGG
Molecule: ribosomal RNA, 430 nt
Filed under: uncultured bacterium
Lineage: Bacteria
Description: bacterial SSU rRNA
Rfam family: Bacterial small subunit ribosomal RNA
Source: RNAcentral